CUUAAUAUAAAGUUGUUGUGCAUAAAUGUUAAAACUAACAAUCGUUUGACCCUGAGGAACUACAAUAAGUGUAGAAUGUAUAUCUGGACUUCCGCCAAUCGGGUGCGGUGCCUGUCAUGAGAAAGGUUUAGUCAUCUACAUUGUUGUCGUGUGAACUAGUUUAACUGGAUUAACUGGAAGUAAACGUGCCUCCUACGUUGCAUACAUUCAGAAGGUGAAAGCGGAGCUUGCAGACAAAGGCAUAACAGAGGCCGGCACAGAUCAGAUGAAACAUCUUGAAGAAACAGUAACUGUCGAUGGACUAGCUUUGCUCCAAGCUGCACUAAGUUCUUAAAAGAGCUGAUGGUGGGGUUGGCGGACUAGGUCAUCACAGAGGCGAAUGUAGAUCCUAAAGGACUUUUCAAAAGAGACAUUUUCGGUCGAUUGUCCGAAUCUUUCCAAACAUUACUGUUGUGGAAUUUCUCUCUCCCCAUGAUAUGUUGUUGGAACACAUUACGUGCAUUGUCAACUGUGUUGUACAGAGUUGUUUCUUAUAUUAUAAACAGGGUGUGAUAACUUUUUUAUAUCUGUGACAAAGUUCUGCAUUUUGAGAUUAUUUUAUUUGUCGGGUGAUAAACGUUCAAAUGAGUAACAUUCAGAAAGCAGUUUAAAAAAUAAUUUCGAAUUUGUUUGGUAAAGAUAGCAAAACAAACAUCAGAAAACAUAAGCUAAUCAUGAAGAUAUUCCUCGUGUCCAUUCAACACGAUUUGCAUCGUAAUAUUUGUUUUGAUUAAAAAUGAAAGGUGCAUUCAUAUUAGCAUUUUCAAAACAUCUAUCCAUAUAAACAUAUGCGUUUAAAUGAUUCAAAAUUAUAUCUAUUGUCAGUAUUUGCUUAUAAUGUUACUUUUUCUUACGAUAUAAAAUAGCGUAUACAUGUUUCAUUCUACAAAUUAUGUUUAAUAAACAACAGUAUGUAUUGCUUGUAUAUAAAAACAAUACUUAACUGAUAAUUCAAUCUUUGUUCGA
Molecule: long non-coding RNA, 1005 nt
Organism: Mya arenaria
Lineage: Eukaryota; Metazoa; Mollusca; Bivalvia; Myida; Myidae
Exons: 3
Source: RefSeq, a predicted model, not a curated record